UCUCUGGUAGUCUAGUGGUUAGGAUUUGCUUUCACUGCUGUGGCCCAGGUUCGAUUCCUGGUCUGGGAG
This 69-nucleotide transfer RNA is filed under the name Sus scrofa (pig). It matches the Rfam family "tRNA". Rfam says of the family: Transfer RNA (tRNA) molecules are approximately 80 nucleotides in length. Their secondary structure includes four short double-helical elements and three loops (D, anti-codon, and T loops). Further hydrogen bonds mediate the characteristic L-shaped molecular structure. tRNAs have two regions of fundamental functional importance: the anti-codon, which is responsible for specific mRNA codon recognition, and the 3' end, to which the tRNAs corresponding amino acid is attached (by aminoacyl-tRNA synthetases). tRNAs cope with the degeneracy of the genetic code in two manners: having more than one tRNA (with a specific anti-codon) for a particular amino acid; and 'wobble' base-pairing, i.e. permitting non-standard base-pairing at the 3rd anti-codon position. Lineage: Eukaryota; Metazoa; Chordata; Mammalia; Artiodactyla; Suidae. The record is from Rfam by way of RNAcentral.